UCUCUCUCUCAGCCCUCACUAUUGGGAAGCAAGUUGCCAUCUUAUGAGCAGGGAGAGGCCCACAUCCCAAGGAGCUGAUGUUUCUGGCCAACAGCCAGUGAGGACCUGAGGCCUGCCAGGUCACAUGAGGGAGCCUGGAAGUGGGUCUUCUCAGUCCUGCCAACAGCUGUGAGUGAGCAUGGACGCAGAUCCUCUCCCAGUGGAGCAUUUGGAUGACCACGGCUCUGGCUAACACCUCACUUACAGCCUUGGGAGAGAUUCUGAGUCAGAGGCAUCCAGCUAAAUUGACCCACAGACACGGUCCCGGUUUAUGACUGCAAAACAAUGGUUUAAACAGUAUUCAUUCUGGAACAUCACUCAAUUUCACUAAUACUAUUCAAAUUCUGGAUGAGAAUUCGCUUCUGCAAAUUAGAAGCAAUUCAUCUAAGAUAAUGAACACAGAAGCGAAGCAGAAGCCAUUUUCCUACAUCCUUUCGACUGUUUUAACUGCAAACAAAGAUAAAGAAAUGCAAGGUGUUAGCAGUGCUUUUUGUGGCACUUUCCAAUUUUCUGGGUGUCAAGAGGCAAUUGUGACUACAGCAUUAGCAGUGUAACUCUGGCUUCCUGAUUACUGGAUUGCAGCA
This 623-nucleotide long non-coding RNA is filed under the name Homo sapiens (human). RNAcentral's name for it is "HSALNT0342067". Lineage: Eukaryota; Metazoa; Chordata; Mammalia; Primates; Hominidae. The record is from RNAcentral.